RNAcentral lists this transfer RNA (73 nucleotides) under Ovis aries (sheep). It matches the Rfam family "tRNA". From Rfam's summary of the family: Transfer RNA (tRNA) molecules are approximately 80 nucleotides in length. Their secondary structure includes four short double-helical elements and three loops (D, anti-codon, and T loops). Further hydrogen bonds mediate the characteristic L-shaped molecular structure. tRNAs have two regions of fundamental functional importance: the anti-codon, which is responsible for specific mRNA codon recognition, and the 3' end, to which the tRNAs corresponding amino acid is attached (by aminoacyl-tRNA synthetases). tRNAs cope with the degeneracy of the genetic code in two manners: having more than one tRNA (with a specific anti-codon) for a particular amino acid; and 'wobble' base-pairing, i.e. permitting non-standard base-pairing at the 3rd anti-codon position. The record is from Rfam by way of RNAcentral. Lineage: Eukaryota; Metazoa; Chordata; Mammalia; Artiodactyla; Bovidae.
UCCCUGACAGUCCAGUGGCUAGGACUACAUGCUCUUAUUGAGGAAAACCCAGGUUCAAUCCCUGAUCAGGGAA